This 473-nucleotide ribosomal RNA is filed under the name Varicosporium elodeae. Its description in RNAcentral is "eukaryotic LSU rRNA". The stretch from base 121 to 274 matches the Rfam family "5.8S ribosomal RNA". The record is from RNAcentral. Lineage: Eukaryota; Fungi; Ascomycota; Leotiomycetes; Helotiales; Discinellaceae.
AAUAUUAUACCUUCGUUGCUUUGGCAGGCCGUGGAAACACCAGAGGCUCCGGCUGAUGCGUGCCUGCCAGAGGAAACAAACUCUGUUUUUAGUGAUGUCUGAGUACUAUAUAAUAGUUAAAACUUUCAACAACGGAUCUCUUGGUUCUGGCAUCGAUGAAGAACGCAGCGAAAUGCGAUAAGUAAUGUGAAUUGCAGAAUUCAGUGAAUCAUCGAAUCUUUGAACGCACAUUGCGCCCCGUGGUAUUCCGCGGGGCAUGCCUGUUCGAGCGUCAUUUCAACCCAUCACGCUCCGGCGUGGUCUUGGGGCCUGCGGUUUCGCAGCCUCUAAACCCAGUGGCGGUGCUAUUGAGCUCUGAGCGUAGUAAUUUCUCUCGCUAUAGAGUCUCGGUGGUGACUUGCCAACAACCCCCAAUUUUUAUCAGGUUGACCUCGGAUCAGGUAGGGAUACCCGCUGAACUUAAGCAUAUCAAU